RNAcentral lists this ribosomal RNA (439 nucleotides) under uncultured Alphaproteobacteria bacterium. RNAcentral's name for it is "bacterial SSU rRNA". It matches the Rfam family "Bacterial small subunit ribosomal RNA", at positions 56 to 529 of the family's 1533-position model. The record is from RNAcentral. Lineage: Bacteria; Pseudomonadati; Pseudomonadota; Alphaproteobacteria.
UGCAAGUCGAACGGACCUUAUGUGCUUGCACAUAAGGUUAGUGGCAGACGGGUGAGUAACGCGUGGGAAUGUACCCCUUGGUUCGGAAUAACGUUUGGAAACGGACGCUAAUACUGGAUACGUCCGAAAGGAGAAAGAUUUAUUGCCGAGGGAGCGGCCCGCGUUGGAUUAGGUAGUUGGUGAGGUAAAGGCUCACCAAGCCGAUGAUCCAUAGCUGGUUUGAGAGGAUGAUCAGCCACACUGGGACUGAGACACGGCCCAGACUCCUACGGGAGGCAGCAGUGGGGAAUAUUGGACAAUGGGGGCAACCCUGAUCCAGCAAUGCCGCGUGAGUGAUGAAGGCCUUCGGGUUGUAAAGCUCUUUUGUCAGGGACGAUAAUGACGGUACCUGACGAAUAAGCUCCGGCUAACUUCGUGCCAGCAGCCGCGGUAGUACGAA